GGCAGAGAUGCCUUAGUGCCUUCGGGAACCGUGAGACAGGUGCUGCAUGGCUGUCGUCAGCUCGUGUUGUGAAAUGUUGGGUUAAGUCCCGCAACGAGCGCAACCCUUAUCCUUUGUUGCCAGCGAGUAAUGUCGGGAACUCAAAGGAGACUGCCGGUGAUAAACCGGAGGAAGGUGGGGAUGACGUCAAGUCAUCAUGGCCCUUACGGCCAGGGCUACACACGUGCUACAAUGGCGCAUACAAAGAGAAGCGACCUCGCGAGAGCAAGCGGACCUCAUAAAGUGCGUCGUAGUCCGGAUCGGAGUCUGCAACUCGACUCCGUGAAGUCGGAAUCGCUAGUAAUCGUAGAUCAGAAUGCUACGGUGAAUACGUUCCCGGGCCUUGUACACACCGCCC
This 397-nucleotide ribosomal RNA is filed under the name Erwinia sp. Its description in RNAcentral is "bacterial SSU rRNA". It matches the Rfam family "Bacterial small subunit ribosomal RNA", at positions 999 to 1395 of the family's 1533-position model. The record is from RNAcentral. Lineage: Bacteria; Pseudomonadati; Pseudomonadota; Gammaproteobacteria; Enterobacterales; Erwiniaceae.